CCUACGGGAGGCAGCAGUGGGGAAUUUUGGACAAUGGGCGAAAGCCUGAUCCAGCAAUACCGCGUGCAGGAAGAAGGCCUUCGGGUUGUAAACUGCUUUUGUACGGAACGAAAAGGUCUGCCUUAAUACGGUGGGCUCAUGACGGUACCGUAAGAAUAAGCACCGGCUAACUACGUGCCAGCAGCCGCGGUAAU
Molecule: ribosomal RNA, 194 nt
Filed under: uncultured bacterium
Lineage: Bacteria
Description: partial 16S ribosomal RNA
Rfam family: Bacterial small subunit ribosomal RNA
Source: RNAcentral